RNAcentral lists this ribosomal RNA (405 nucleotides) under uncultured bacterium. RNAcentral describes it as "partial 16S ribosomal RNA". It matches the Rfam family "Bacterial small subunit ribosomal RNA", at positions 28 to 526 of the family's 1533-position model. The record is from RNAcentral.
GACGAACGCUGGCGGCGUGCUUAACACAUGCAAGUCGAGCGGAGCGGCGAACGGGUGAGUAUCGCGUGAGUAACUGCCCCCCUCUCUGGGAUAACAGUUGGCAACGGCUGCUAAUACCGGAUAGUGGGGGAUGACUCGUGUCCUAUUGGCUUGUUGGUGGGGUAGUGGCCUACCAAGGCGACGACGGGUAGCCGGCCUGGGAGGGCGGCCGGCCACAAGGCGCUAAGAUAGGGCCCAGUCUGCUACAGGGGGCAGCAGUGGGGAAUAUUGCGCAAUGGGGGAAACCGUGAGGAGGCAGCGCCGCGUGCGGGAUGACGGCCUUCGGGUUGGAAACCGCUUGCGGCCAUGACGCGGUAGUGGCAGAAGAAGCACCGGCUAACUACGUGCCAGCAGCCGCGGUAAUUC